RNAcentral lists this ribosomal RNA (250 nucleotides) under uncultured bacterium. RNAcentral describes it as "partial 16S ribosomal RNA". It matches the Rfam family "Bacterial small subunit ribosomal RNA", at positions 524 to 773 of the family's 1533-position model. The record is from RNAcentral.
GACGAACCGAGCGAACGUUGUUCGGAAUCACUGGGCUUAAAGGGCGCGUAGGCGGACCGUCAAGUCCGGGGUGAAAUCUUUCGGCUCAACCGGAAAAGUGCCUUGGAUACUGACGGUCUCGAGGGAGGUAGGGGCAGGCGGAACUUCCGGUGGAGCGGUGAAAUGCGUUGAUAUCGGAAGGAACUCCGGUGGCGAAGGCGGCCUGCUGGACCUCUUCUGACGCUGAGGCGCGAAAGCUAGGGGAGCAAAC